This 587-nucleotide ribosomal RNA is filed under the name uncultured bacterium. RNAcentral describes it as "bacterial SSU rRNA". It matches the Rfam family "Bacterial small subunit ribosomal RNA", at positions 337 to 916 of the family's 1533-position model. The record is from RNAcentral.
UCCUACGGGAGGCAGCAGUGGGGAAUAUUGGACAAUGGGGGCAACCCUGAUCCAGCCAUGCCGCGUGUGUGAAGAAGGCCCUCGGGUUGUAAAGCACUUCCAGCGAGGAAGAACGCCUAGCGGUUAAUACCCGCUAGGAAAGACAUCACUCGCAGAAGAAGCACCGGCUAACUCCGUGCCAGCAGCCGCGGUAAUACGGAGGGUGCAAGCGUUAGUCGGAAUUACUGGGCGUAAAGCGCGCGUAGGUGGCUUGAUAAGCCGGUUGUGGAAGCCCCGGGCUCAACCUGGGAACGGCAUCCGGAACUGUCAAGCUAGAGUGCAGGAGAGGAAGGUAGAAUUCCCGGUGUAGCGGUGAAAUGCGUAGAGAUCGGGAGGAAUACCAGUGGCGAAGGCGGCCUUCUGGACUGACACUGACACUGAGGUGCGAAAGCGUGGGUAGCAAACAGGAUUAGAUACCCUGGUAGUCCACGCCGUAAACGAUGUCGACCAGCCGUUGGGUGCCUAGCGCACUUUGUGGCGAAGUUAACGCGAUAAGUCGACCGCCUGGGGAAUACGGCCGCAAGGUUAAAACUCAAAUGAAUUGACGG